CCCCUCCAGGGAAUAGGAGGCAAUCGCGGUGGCCAGAGAGGUGGCUGCAUACCCUGGGCCAAGCCAGCAUCCGAUUGCCGCAGGGGGUGCAUCAGGGUCCAUCCCUCCCUAACGCCCGAAUUGGAGCUGGUCGGACAUUUCUUGCUGGUGCGUGUCCUCAGCCAGAUCUACCCCUGGCAUCAAGCUGACCUGGCAGGACCAGAAACCAGGUGCUUACUUCUGGGCACACAAGCCUUUUUCUUAAAUCUUUGCCCUUCAGCAGCCCAACUAUGAAGAUCCUUUGUGGACUAUGGACAGAAGGCAAAGAAAACUCCCUGAGCCUGGGUCAUCUCUCAGUGCUGUUUUUAGGGAGCAGUGUUCCUGGGCUGUGUGUCAUUUUCAUCCAUGCUGGAAAUUUUCCCCAUUCUCAUCAUCCGUGACACAGUUUUGGCAGAUGAGCUGUUGGUCCCUUGAGGGUUUCUUACUCCAUUUAUGAAAAGUAGAAAAAACAACCUCAUGAAGAUGUUUUGAUAUAUAUCACAGCACAAACAACUGGAGGGAAGUUAUGUGACAGCAGACAGCCAAGGUGUGCUGAUGGUGGUUCUCACCAAUCACAGAGCCAAGAAGAAGAAAUUCUUUUUUAUACUGGAGAUCAAUCCAGGGGAGUUGCCUCUUUAUGGCAGUACCAAAUGAAAUUCAUGCAAUUUCCAACAGGUGGAUGAGCUGCUGGUCCCUUGAGGGUUUCUUACUCUAUUUAUGAAAAGUAGAAAAAACAACCUCAUGAAGAUGUAUUGAUAUAUAUCACAGCACAAACAACUGGAGGGAAGUUAUGUGACAGCUGACAGCCAAGUGAAACAGAUACUCUGGAUUGAAGUCUCAGCUGUGGAGAAUUAUCAGCCAUGAAGUCACCCAACCCCCCACCGGCAAACAAUUGGAGAAGAGAAAUCAAACCUUCCUACCACCGUGCACCCAGGGCACCACCUGAUUUGUCCUCAGCCGAUUGGUUCAGUUCAAAAAGUCCAAAUCAAUUGUCUCAGUCUGCACCUGUCUUGGGUGAGAGAGUUUAAGAGGUCUCUGGGAACUGGAUCACAGGGGUCUGGUGACUGCUCUCGUGUGGCUUGCUCCAGUGCUGCGUGGAGUCAGGAGGAGCCACCCAGCCAAUAGAUCAGUCUGGGAAGGUUAAUGCCUCCUUCCCCACCUUGCAUCACUGUCACACCCAGUCACUGAUAGCCCUGCAGUUGGCUGACCCAGUUGCCUGUAGUGAAUCGGUACUCCAGGAAUUUGCACCUGCCUGAAUCACAAGGAAAUCUGCCAGGCCGCUGCGCUCUGCCUCUCUCUAGCAGGAGGAGGUAAGGCCUGACAACCUCGGGUGCUUGAUGAAGGUUGGGGGGUUUUCACGCAGGUCCAGUCUCGCCCCUGAUUAAUGUUACUGACAGAACAGAACAGAACAACUCUGCGGUUCCCCUGCAGAAGAGAAGCUGAGUUGAGUUCCAAAUCACCUUGUCUUUGCUCUUGUAUUGUCUAUAGGCUGACGAUCCCCUGAGGGCCAGGUGUGUCUUAGGUUUAGUAAAGUGGACCUCUGGGUCAGCCCCGCCCUGGGAGUUUUCCCAGUUUGCAAGUUGGAGUAGCCUCAGGCAAAUCCUAUACUCAGAGUCUCUGGUUGCCCAGGGAGACAGGGAGUGUGGGCUUCAGAUACGGUAGUGAGCCGUAUUGCUAGCAAAGAGGGCUGCUGUUUUAUGGCUCAGGCAACCGCUGCUCCGGUGUAGCUCCCUUCUGGCCAACCAUCCUCUCUCUGUUCCCGUACCCCAGAGUCUGCACCAACCGGCUACAGCCCAGCACUGUCUACACUCCUCGAGCAAUCACCCAAGAGUCUAAACCCCUGGCUGACAGGCCUCCAGACUUUGGAGCAGAGGGGACCGCAGGGAGCGCUGGGAGCCUGGGGUUGAGGGCAGAGAACACACACAGCUUUACACAGUUUUAUGCCUGGCCAUACUGUCACCAAAAGACGGCUGUCGCACUGUGCCUCAGGGAACCGCCACUCCGGUGCAGUUCCCUCUUCGCCGACCAGGACUGGCCUCCAGACCUCAGUGUGAGUGAAGGGGAGCGCUGGGAGCUCAGAAUUCCAGGUAGAGACUAUAUACAGCUUAUACAGUUUUAUGCCUGGCAGGAGGACACUGUGGCACCCUAGUAGGGGAGAUAGGUCCAGUUUUUAGAGGGUCUCUCCCGUGGAGUGUAGUGGGAGGAACGUUUAACUCUGCCCGAUUGUUUGUGGGGCACUCUGAGCUGUUCUUAUGGUGGAGGUAACUCCCAUUCACUUGGUGAUGGAUUUUGUACCUUUUGUUUGUAUCCUUGUGGUUGCAGCUCACCUCAGUGGGGUUGACAUGCGUUCUUCAACCUUCUCUCUUAGUGCAGCUCAAAUCCACCAGGUUACUUGCUGAAUUUUUGUCCUUUAACUCUCCUACUGGACGGGAGCCUCUGUGGAAAGCUGGCUUCAGUCAGCCAUCUUGUCUCCUCCCCUCUGAAACGGGGUUUUCUUGCAGAGACAGCAACCAAAAUGAAGAUACGGAGUAGACUGAUCAUGGGCAACACACUUUGGGGGUCACCAUCUCCCAUCACCCCCAGAUGACACCACCUUUGAGCUCACCCGGCCCCGGGCCCCACACCGUCCAGCCCACACGGCAAGGCGCAGCAAAUAUCUGUCCAGCUGCAACUGCCCCUCCACCAAUUCUCCCCCUCCCCUCCUUCUCUUCCCCCUUCUUCUUGGGCUGUAGUUGGGUUAUAGCUUUCAUAUGAACACUAUAAAUUGGUUUCAUAGUAGGGCUUAGUAUAUUGGAUACUUUUUCUUCCAUUCUUGACAUACUUUGCUAAGAAGAAUAUCUUCCAACUCCAUCCAUGUAAACAUGAAAGAGGUAAAAUCUCCAUCUUUUUUUAAGGCUGCAUAAUGUUCCAUGGUGUACAUAUAUCACAAUUUAUUAAUCCAUUCAUGGGUUGAUGGGCACUUGGGCUUCUUCCAUGACUUAGCAAUUAUGAGUGGGGCUACCAUAAACAUUCUGGUGCAAAUGUCUUUGUUAUAAUGUGAUUUUUGGUCUUCUGGAUAUAUACCUAGUAGAGGAAUUGAAGGAUUGAAUGGCAGGCCUAUUUUUAGAUCCCUAAGUGAUCUCCAAACAUAUUUCCAAAAGGAACUUAUUAGCUUGCAUUCCCACUCUCAGUGUAGAAGUGUUCCCUUUUCUCCACAUUCAUGCCAACAUGUCUGGUUUUGGGAUUUGGUGAUGUGGGCUAAUCUUACUGGGGUUAGAUGAUAUCUCAAAGUGGUUUUGAUUUGCAUUUCUCUGAUAAUGAUGAUGAGCAUUUUUGGAUAUGUCUGUAAGCUGUGCACCUGACUUCUUCAGAGAAGUUUCUCUUCAAGUCUCUUACCCUAACCUAUGACAAGUGCAAACGAGUGCGGGAAAGUGUGAAAGAGGCAGGAAAUCAAUUUCAUAUAUCAAACAAUAAACAUCCUAAAAGUAACACUACAGUCCCUAACUCCCAGCCAAAUUGGAAUUAUAAUAAUAAUA
This is a long non-coding RNA of Nycticebus coucang (slow loris), 3533 nucleotides long. RefSeq lists it as uncharacterized. NCBI's taxonomy places the organism in Eukaryota, Metazoa, Chordata, Mammalia, Primates, Lorisidae. The record is from RefSeq and is a predicted model, not a curated record. The transcript has 7 exons.